CCUCGGGGAUGGGUGACACCCCACAUGCAUUUCAGGGUUUUAUGGCUCCCUGUUUAAAACCAGCUCACGAGGUGAUACGAGGUUAUGCCAGCGCGUCCGAACCUAAAGAGCAGUGACUUUGCAGCCGCCUGAACUUUGCUAACUGGAAAGAGCCGGCUGACUCCUCCCCUGACCGCCGGCCGGCCUCCCUCCCUCUAAUUUAACGAAAGACACUUCCCAGCUAAAAAAACUAAAGACGCUAAAUUUCGUGCUGUUUCUGUUCAAUGCAAAACCUGGGUAAAAUCCCACAGGGAUUUUUGCAACACGUCUUUGUGGGGUGCCUCCUCGGUGAGCAAGCUUGUUCGGCAGGUGCCCGCGCCACGCACGCCGCCGCCGCCCGCUGGCGCGCAGCCACGGCGCGCGGCGCCUGGGCCACGCCUUGCGAUGCCUCUGCGGACUGAGGAGGGCCCAGCACCUGUGGUGGGAAAGUUCCCGGUCCUCGCCGACAGAAGGCCCCAGAAGACAAGAGAGAAGGUGUGGGACCCUUUCUCUUUCUAGCCGCCUCCCUCCCCGGGCCAGUGGGGAGAGGACGGAGGAGGGGUGCGAAGAAAGAGCAAAAUAAAGGUGUUCUAAGAAUCUUGGUGUUAAGCCCUCUUCGAUUUGAAUUGCUGGAAGGACACAAGAGGCCGGAAAGCUGAAAACACAUUCACCCAAUUCUCUUGAAGACGUCAUUUUUAUGGAUCACGUGCCUGCAUCGAGACUUGAACUCAGGACUGAGUAAGUAGAGAAUGAGUAUGCAGUGUGC
This is a long non-coding RNA of Ailuropoda melanoleuca (giant panda), 784 nucleotides long. RefSeq lists it as uncharacterized. The transcript is spliced from 3 exons. Lineage: Eukaryota; Metazoa; Chordata; Mammalia; Carnivora; Ursidae. The record is from RefSeq and is a predicted model, not a curated record.